RNAcentral lists this ribosomal RNA (238 nucleotides) under uncultured bacterium. Its description in RNAcentral is "partial 16S ribosomal RNA". It matches the Rfam family "Bacterial small subunit ribosomal RNA", at positions 96 to 334 of the family's 1533-position model. The record is from RNAcentral.
UGGCGGACGGGUGAGUAACGCGUGGGUAACCUGCCUCAUACAGGGGGAUAACGGUUGGAAAUGACUGCUAAUACCGCAUAAGCGCACAGUACCACAUGGUACGGUGUGAAAAACUCCGGUGGUAUGAGAUGGACCCGCGUCUGAUUAGCUAGUUGGUGGGGUAACGGCCCACCAAGGCGACGAUCAGUAGCCGACCUGAGAGGGUGACCGGCCACAUUGGGACUGAGACACGGCCCAG